RNAcentral lists this ribosomal RNA (484 nucleotides) under uncultured bacterium. Its description in RNAcentral is "partial 16S ribosomal RNA". It matches the Rfam family "Bacterial small subunit ribosomal RNA", at positions 30 to 507 of the family's 1533-position model. The record is from RNAcentral.
AUUGAACGCUGGCGGCAGGCCUAACACAUGCAAGUCGAACGGAUGAGCGGAGCUUGCUCCUGGGGUCAGCGGCGGACGGGUGAGUAAUGCCUAGGAAUCUGCCUGGUAGUGGGGGAUAACGUCGGGAAACGGGCGCUAAUACCGCAUACGUCCUGAGGGUGAAAGUGGGGGAUCUUCGGACCUCACGCUAUCAGAUGAGCCUAGGUCGGAUUAGCUAGUUGGUGGGGUAAAGGCUUACCAAGGCGACGAUCCGUAACUGGUCUGAGAGGAUGAUCAGUCACACUGGAACUGAGACACGGCCCAGACUCCUACGGGAGGCAGCAGUGGGGAAUAUUGGACAAUGGGGGAAAGCCUGAUCCAGCCAUGCCGCGUGUGUGAAGAAGGUCUUCGGGUUGUAAAGCGCUUUUAGUUGGGAAGAAGGCCAGUGAGUUAAUACCUUGCUGGUUUGACGGUACCGACAGAAUAAGCACCGGCUAACUUCGUG